Molecule: ribosomal RNA, 459 nt
Filed under: uncultured bacterium
Lineage: Bacteria
Description: partial 16S ribosomal RNA
Rfam family: Bacterial small subunit ribosomal RNA
Source: RNAcentral
CCUACGGGUGGCAGCAGUGAGGAAUAUUGGUCAAUGGGCGCGAGCCUGAACCAGCCAAGUCGCGUGAGGGAAGACGGUCCUAUGGAUUGUAAACCUCUUUUGUCGGGGAGCAAAAGACGCCACGCGUGGCGUUCCGAGAGUACCCGAAGAAAAAGCAUCGGCUAACUCCGUGCCAGCAGCCGCGGUAAUACGGAGGAUGCGAGCGUUAGCCGGAUUUAUUGGGUUUAAAGGGUGAGCAGGCGGAAUAUCAAGUCAGCGGUAAAAUUGAGAGGCUCAACCUCUUCGAGCCGUUGAAACUGGUUUUCUUGAGUGAGCGAGAAGUAUGCGGAAUGCGGGGUGUAGCGGUGAAAUGCAUAGAUAUCACGCAGAACUGCGAUUGCGAAGGCAGCAUACAGGCGGCGAUCUGACGCUGAGGCACGAAAGCGUGGGUAUCGAACAGGAUUAGAUACCCGAGUAGUC